AGUGAACGCUGGCGGUAGGCCUAACACAUGCAAGUCGAACGGCAGCACAGUAAGAGCUUGCUCUUACGGGUGGCGAGUGGCGGACGGGUGAGGAAUACAUCGGAAUCUACUUUUUCGUGGGGGAUAACGUAGGGAAACUUACGCUAAUACAGCAUACGACGUACGGGUGAAAGCAGGGGAUCUUCGGACCUUGCGCGAUUGAAUGAGCCGAUGUCGGAUUAGCUAGUUGGCGGGGUAAAGGCCCACCAAGGCGACGAUCCGUAGCUGGUCUGAGAGGAUGAUCAGCCACACUGGAACUGAGACACGGUCCAGACUCCUACGGGAGGCAGCAGUGGGGAAUAUUGGACAAUGGGCGCAAGCCUGAUCCAGCCAUACCGCGUGGGUGAAGAAGGCCUUCGGGUUGUAAAGCCCUUUUGUUGGGAAAGAAAAGCAGCAGGUUAAUACCCCGCUGUUCUGACGGUACCCAAAGAAUAAGCACCGGCUAACUUCGUG
Molecule: ribosomal RNA, 492 nt
Filed under: uncultured bacterium
Lineage: Bacteria
Description: partial 16S ribosomal RNA
Rfam family: Bacterial small subunit ribosomal RNA
Source: RNAcentral